This 851-nucleotide ribosomal RNA is filed under the name Burkholderia cenocepacia. RNAcentral's name for it is "bacterial LSU rRNA". It matches the Rfam family "Bacterial large subunit ribosomal RNA", at positions 2086 to 2925 of the family's 2925-position model. The record is from RNAcentral. Lineage: Bacteria; Pseudomonadati; Pseudomonadota; Betaproteobacteria; Burkholderiales; Burkholderiaceae.
AGACCCCAUGAACCUUUACUGUAGCUUUGCAUUGGACUUUGAACCGAUCUGUGUAGGAUAGGUGGGAGGCUAUGAAACCGGAACGCUAGUUUCGGUGGAGCCGUCCUUGAAAUACCACCCUGGUUUGUUUGAGGUUCUAACCUUGGCCCGUGAUCCGGGUCGGGGACAGUGCAUGGUAGGCAGUUUGACUGGGGCGGUCUCCUCCCAAAGCGUAACGGAGGAGUACGAAGGUACGCUAGGUACGGUCGGAAAUCGUGCUGAUAGUGCAAUGGCAUAAGCGUGCUUAACUGCGAGACCGACAAGUCGAGCAGGUGCGAAAGCAGGUCAUAGUGAUCCGGUGGUUCUGUAUGGAAGGGCCAUCGCUCAACGGAUAAAAGGUACUCUGGGGAUAACAGGCUGAUACCGCCCAAGAGUUCAUAUCGACGGCGGUGUUUGGCACCUCGAUGUCGGCUCAUCUCAUCCUGGGGCUGUAGCCGGUCCCAAGGGUAUGGCUGUUCGCCAUUUAAAGAGGUACGUGAGCUGGGUUUAAAACGUCGUGAGACAGUUUGGUCCCUAUCUGCCGUGGGCGUUGGAUAUUUGAAGGGGGCUGCUCCUAGUACGAGAGGACCGGAGUGGACGAACCUCUGGUGUACCGGUUGUCACGCCAGUGGCAUCGCCGGGUAGCUAUGUUCGGAAGAGAUAACCGCUGAAAGCAUCUAAGCGGGAAACUCGCCUUAAGAUGAGAUAUCCCUGGGGACUAGAUCCCCUUGAAGGGUCGUUCGAGACCAGGACGUUGAUAGGUCAGGUGUGUAAGCGCAGUAAUGCGUUCAGCUAACUGAUACUAAUUGCCCGUAAGGCUUGAUCCUAUAACA